UCAAUUGAAAGGUGUUUUUUGAACCUAUAAAUUAGUAAUUACUACAAACAGUACUUUGCCCAUCAUUUUAUAAGCCUUAAUAUACAAUAAUAAAUAAUAUUGUUUAAAAUGUUUGUUUCUUAGGAUUUUCGGCUAGUUAGCGACGAUCCAAUGUCGAGUGCAAAAUGAAGAAUUACAUUAAAAAUAUUUUCAACAAUUGCGUAAACUCCGUACUGCCUAGAAAUAUUAUUAAACACUCCGUUAAGUGUGAAAAACAAGUAUUGUACGUAAACGAUGGCAAAUUUUCACUACCCGAAAAAGUGUAUAUGAUCGGAUUUGGAAAAGCCGUAAUGCAAAUGGCUUUGGAGAUUGAAAAAAUACUUGAUGGCCGUUUGCACAAAGCUAUAUUAAGCGUUCCAUUUGGUACGCAAUGUAAUAUUGAUGAUUCCAUAAUCAAUAUUUUAGAAGGAGCUAGAAAUAAUAUACCUGAUCAAUACGCUGUAGACAACACCAAAUGUAUAGUAGAUAUGAUUGGAAAUUUGAACAGUAAUGAUGUUUUAAUAGUCUUGAUAUCGGGCGGAGGCUCUGCGUUGUUGUGUUCGCCGACCGUGUCGUUAACUGAUAAAAUCUACACUAUUAAUUUGCUGUCGUCUAACGGUGCUUCAAUAAAACAAUUAAACGCUGUAAGGAAAGCGUUAUCCGAUGUUAAAGGAGGCAAGUUAAUUGGGAUAGUUAAUAAAGCUACCGUUAUUGCAUUAAUCUUAUCAGAUAUCAUUGGCGACCCUUUGAACGCGAUUGCAAGUGGGCCGACAGUUCCCAAUGAUGAUCCAACCAAACUGCCGUUGGAAAUAGUAAACAAAUUAAAUUUAAUAGAUAAAAUUCCAAAAACUGUUUUGAGUGCUUUGGAGAAAAAUCAAUCCAUCAGCGACAUUGAUUUUACCAAAGUACAUAAUUUUAUAAUAGGUAAUAACAAUGUUGCCUUAAAAACUGGCUUAAACUGUUCACAACCCGAUUAUAUUUCUGUUCUUCUCUCGAAUUCAAUUCAAGGCAACGUAUCGCAAGUGUCUAAUUUUUAUUCAACCCUUAUAAAAUUUGUUUGUAAAACAUACUUUAUGAAGGAAACCGAUGAAAAACUGAAGCAAGACCUUAUAUCAAUAAUAAAUGUUUUGUGUUUAAAAAUAAAUGUAGACAAUUUGACGAGUAAAGUCAUCCAAGCUACGCUGAAAAAAAGUGGUUUGUGUUUAUUAAGCGGCGGUGAACCUACUGUAAUUGUAAAGGGAAUUGGUGCUGGAGGAAGAAAUCAAGAAUUAGCUUUGAGAGUAGCUAUUGAUUUGGAUAAAAGUAGUACUGAAGAGUUCAAAAUCAUGUUCUUUAGCGGAGGGACGGAUGGCAUUGAUGGACCGACCGAUGCUUGUGGUGCGUUUGGCUAUCCAGAACUCGUGAACAAUGCAAAAUCUGAAUGUUUAAAUCCUUUGCCGUUUGUCGAAAACAAUGACAGCUAUGGUUUCUAUUCCAAGUACAAUCAAGGCGAAGACCUUUUUCGAAUUGGCCAUACCGGUACCAAUGUCAUGGAUUUACAUAUUUUGAUUAUUGAACCGCGAAAUAACCGUAUUCUAUAAAAAAAUUAAUGGGUUGAAAAGCGAACUGUGUUUUAGUAUAGUUUAAUUUAAGUAAUACAUAUUUUAUAUCUUUAGUUGACAAAUGUUUGAAAUUGAAUAACUAAAAAAAAGCUGUGUAACUUGGGUUGUAUUUUUAGUACAAGUUUUAUUAUUUUACAUAAUGGCUAAAUUAAACAAGUUUAUAAUAGCAAUUACUUUUACGAAAAUUGAAAAAUUUUAAUCGUUCAGAAUGGAUAUUUACCUAUGAAUAAAAUAAAAAUUAAUUUUGUUAUCAUUCAACAUUUCAAUAUUAUGAUAAGUGAUAAAAUGUGAUAACAGCAUGUGUCCUCUCUUAUCAGUAUCCAUGCGGUGUGUUUAAGCCUUAAUUACAACUUUGCCGGAAAAAUGAAAUAAUUUUUAUCGCAAGUAUACUUCUUAAUUUGAUUGACAACUCGUUUUAUCUUGUCUAUGGUUAUUGUUUAAAUAUAUAAUACAUCAAUAAGUUUUUAUAUUCGUACUGCUGUUUUUGUGUAAAGUCCUUUAGUGAAAAUAAUGCUCAGUGCCCUUAAAAAAUCAGGAUGUGAAGUAAAUCCAUCUAGACACAUAGCGUGUGAACUCUGUGACACGACUGUUCAUGGUGGUUAUGAUCCA
Molecule: RNA transcript, 2228 nt
Organism: Adelges cooleyi (spruce gall adelgid)
Lineage: Eukaryota; Metazoa; Arthropoda; Insecta; Hemiptera; Adelgidae
Gene name: mitochondrial inner membrane protease ATP23 homolog
Exons: 3
Source: RefSeq, a predicted model, not a curated record